Molecule: long non-coding RNA, 793 nt
Filed under: Mus spicilegus (steppe mouse)
Lineage: Eukaryota; Metazoa; Chordata; Mammalia; Rodentia; Muridae
Description: lncRNA (ENSMSIG00000022850.1)
Source: RNAcentral
CUUGCAUAAGCUUUAGAUCCCAUAAAUUCUCAAACCACGGUACCCUCCAUGAUUUCCAGUUAGCUAUUACCACAUUGUAGAAUUCGGUCCUGCUUUGGGAGAAUAGUAAGGAGAACGAAUAAAAUACAUUGUUUCAAUUCACUGGCAGCAAGGAAGAAACCGGUAUUUAUUUGCAUAAGGAAAGCAAAGAGGAAAAGAAAAUUGGAGGUCACCCCUUUCACUGGGUGCUGGAAGAAGCUGUCAGUGGGAUGGGGCCACUCACAUCAUGGAGCACUCAUGGAGCACUGUUGCUGCACUCACCCUUCAAGGAACCUGGAUGCUCCUCACUGUAGCCUGUCUACCUGCAGAGUAGCUGUGGUCCCUUUGUCUGGGCAUGAAGAAGAGGCAGAGACAUUGCAUCCUGUCUACAUCCAGAUGUGUCAUGGUACAUAGCAGCAUAGAAAGGGAGAGUGACUCCCUUCAUGGCAAAAUGGGAUGUUCCCAUAAUUCCCCUGGAGAUCUGGAGGCAGAAAGAUGUCAGCGAUUAAUUCUAUUAUGUGGUUGAUACAGUUAGUCAACUUAUGUAAAAGGACCCAUACUUGUGACUCAGUUUUUUCCCUCUUUCUGAUGGUUCCAGUCUCUUAGAUUUGUACAUUAUCUGCGACGGAUCUAUCAUUUAUCUAGAGAAUACCCUUGUCAUUCACUGCAUUUAAUUAGCUUAUGGAUUCUAAAUUAUCUGCUACCAUAAAAUGUGAUUUUUAUACUGCAGAUUACAAAGGUUUUCAGAAAUUUAAUAUGCCACUUUUAAUUGGUG